UUGGAGGGUUUGAUCCUGGCUCAGAGUGAACGCUGGCGGCGUGGAUAAGGCAUGCAAGUCGAGCGAUCCCGACGCAGCGAGGAAGUCGAGCCUUCGGGUGAGACUGACGAGCAACGUCGGGAUAGCGGCAAACGGGUGAGUAAUGCGUGGGUAACGUACCUUGGAGAGGGGGAUAGCUCCGAGAAAUCGGAGGUAAUACCCCAUGGUCUCCUAAGACUGAAAUGGCUUAGGAGUAAAGGUGGCCUCUCCCGACGUUAUGUCGGGAUGCUAUCGCUCCAAGAGCGGCUCACGUCCUAUCAGGUAGUUGGUAGGGUAAUGGCCUACCAAGCCUAAGACGGGUAGCUGGCAUUAGCGUGUGGUCAGCCACACCGGGACUGAGACACUGCCCGGACUCCUACGGGAGGCUGCAGUCGAGAAUCUUUCCCAAUGGGCGAAAGCCUGAGGAUGCGACGCCGCGUGGGGGAUGAAGCGCUUCGGCGUGUAAACCCCUUUUAUCGGGGAGGAAAUCC
RNAcentral lists this ribosomal RNA (509 nucleotides) under Candidatus Omnitrophota bacterium. Its description in RNAcentral is "bacterial SSU rRNA". It matches the Rfam family "Bacterial small subunit ribosomal RNA", at positions 1 to 453 of the family's 1533-position model. The record is from RNAcentral. Lineage: Bacteria; Pseudomonadati; Candidatus Omnitrophota.